GACUGGUUCCGGAGCUUUAGGUGGUGGUGCCGGGUUUGGAGCUGGGAUUAGGAAGGGUGCUGGCCUCCUAUGGUCAUGAUAACAUGGGCCUCCACUAAUCCCAUGGUAGCAUUCAGCACAACAUGUCCUUCGGUGGACUGGUGCCGGUUUCUCUGGUUCUUUGGGUUUCUCUGGUUCUUUGGGUUUCUCCGGUUCUUUGGGUUUCUCUGGUUCUUUGGGCUUCUCCGGUUCUUUGGGAUUCUCCGGUUGCUUAGGCUUUUCAGGUUCUUUCGGCUUCUCCGGUUCUUUAGGUUUAGAUGGUGGUGCUUUGGGUUUCUCUGGAACCUUGAUCUCAAUGCUCUGGACAGCUUCACCUCCUUUACAGAUUAUCUUUUCCUUGAUCUUUUCAGGACUGCAACAUACCACAGUGAUGGUCACUGUGCCUGCCUUCUUGUCAUAUAUCUGGUUCUGAAUUUCUCUUGUUCACAAUCCACAAAAACAACUUAGCCACUUUCCUUUCAUCUUAAAACUGCUCAAACUAAGUUAUUAUACAUGGAGAAGGAGGCACUCACGAGGGAUUCUACACAGUACUUUCUUGAUUUUCUUGUGGCAUUUCUUACAUUCAAGGUCAACCUUGAUCACCAUUAUUGUGACUUUCUGCAAUACGAGCACAUAAAAACAAGGACAUUCUAAGCCAAGAAGAAUAUUGAAAGGACUGGAACACUUUCUGACAUGGAAGGAUAUUGAUCAGUAAAGAUAAUGAACAAGAAGAUGAGGUCCAUAGGGCCAAAAACAAGGACCACAACACAUAAAAAGAAGAAAAACCCAGAUGAAUGGACUAAAUAAAAGAUAAAUCUAAACCAAUAAAAGAAGAAGAAGGAAAAUGUAUCAAAAUCUCCACAUCCAUCCAUGCACAUACCUUUUCAGCCAUGGUUUUGUCGAAGCUUUGAUCUGGACCUGAUGAGAUGAUAGAAUUGAGAGCAGAGUGAAGGAACAGACCAGAGGGUGAGAGGGAGAUAUAGAGGCUUCUAAAAUUAAGAUUGAUCACAACUUAAGUAGUAGAAGUGUGAGACCAAAGUUUAAAUACCGUGCAUCUAGAGGCCAAUAAGAAGAGAACACAUGGGAUUGGGUGUUGAGCUUGACGUCAUAUUGUCGUUUUCUUUUUUAUUGCUGACCCUCCAAACCUGCGUAUGCAAGCGCUGGCUUUGAUGGACACAUCUCACCUUCAAUUUUGUUAAUCAUUUCGAAGGCUGUUGUGCAUCCUACGGUGCAUUAGUUCAGUCAUGUCAAUAAAUGAGCCAUGCAAACCCCAUGACAACCGUACACGUGUCCCAAAAAAAUUCACCAUAAAAAAUUAAAAAUCUUCAAUUAAUAUUUCCAUAUCUCAUGUUAAAAGAAUUUAGCCGGUGUUUGAUUGUUGUUUCCUGAUAAAAACAUAGAAAACUUGAAUUAUAAAUUUAUUUUAAAAUUAUUACAAAAAACAAUUUUAUUUUAUAUUCUUAUUUUUAUCCUCCGUUCUACACUAACAACACAUAAUUUGAAGAGGUAUUAUAAUUCUAAUUAACGAGCUCCUCUGUUUCAAAAUUUGGAUUUAUAAAGUAACAUAAGAACACAUAUCUCUUUAACAACUUGUCCAAAUUGGAUUAAUUUUUUAUGAUACAUGUAAGGUAAUUAGUUGUAUUUUUUAAUAAAAAGAUAAUUAGAACAAAAAUAAUUAAUAAGUUGUGAUAUUUGUAUUACUCUCUCUUGUAUUUAUAUUUUUUCUAAAAGUACAUCUUAUAAAAUAAUUAAUAAAUUAUUACUAAUUCCCAUCAUCACCAUGGAAUACUUCAUAUAAUCUAAACGACAAAAAUCUGUAUAAUUAUAUAUAUAAUGAUAUGAAAACCAGAAAUUAGAAACCCAAGUCGUUAAGCAAGUAGCUCACCGUUUUAUCUCAUCACUUUAACCAUAAAGGUGCUAGGACAUAAAGAAGAAAGUUAACAAAUUGUGGGCCCAGAAGUUGCGUCCAUGAGUGCCGACUUUGAAAGCUGAGGCAGGUUUAACUAAUCGUUUGAAAUUACGGUCAACUGUAUUUUUUAAAAUUUUAAUUUUUUAAUAUAUAUAUAUAUAUUUGAUUGUUUUGAUAUACUGGUACAAGAAUAAAUCUUGAAAAAUAAAAAUUAUAUGUUUUAUUUUAAUAUAUUUUCAAUAAUGUUAGUGUUUAGAGAGCAACUAAUAUAAAUUUCGUAGUCGGCAACUUUACAUAAUCUCAUAUCAACAAAUCAGGAGAAGGAAGGGAACUGCUCAUUCAUGGUAGAAUUCUUAUCGCCAAGUACGAUGAUGGGAUCAUGACAGUCCACAUUCCAUUAUCUAGAUGGAUCAUGCAUGACCUAAAUUUCUGACAGCGAAGCUUGAUAACGUUUACAAAACAAAAACCAUCGAUCAGUUACUGUCAGAAAUUAAAGAAAGCAAAUGGAAAGUGAAUGGAAGGGAGAUGCUGAGAUGCACCAUCACUGUAUAUACAAAUAGCAAUGAUUAUGGAAGCUUUAAAAUCUCCCUUAUAUUAAUUUAUUAAAAAUCUUAACAUCUCUUGUAAUAAAAUAUUGUGCCCACAUCACCAACCUUAUUGUAUCACAUAAAAUCUCUAAAACGAAGGAAGAAGACCCAAUAUGCAGCCAAAACUGACUAGCUAGACAAGGUUAUGACAUGAGCAUGAGCAAUGCUAUUGUUUAAUUUGAUCAUAUCGACACGAUACUACUGUCCAAAUCCAGUGAUUUUUGGUGGAAAUCGGCUUAAGGCAAUAUCGACAUUCUAGAUGCUUUCACAUGAUUGUGCAUGACGAGGGAUUAUCUUCACAGACAUAUUCACAUCUGCACACAUAGUAACCGCUUCUUUGGCAACCACAGCCGCCGCCGCCGCCGCCACCCCAAUUAUCAUACACUGGCCUUCCAUAAGCUUCAUAACUCGGGGGUGCUGGCCUACCAUAGUCAUGAUAACAUGGGCCUCCACUAAUCCCAUGGUAGCAUUCAGCACAACAUGUCCUUGGGGGGACUGGUUCCGGAGCUUUAGGUGGUGGUGGUGCCGGGUUUGGAGCUGGGUUUGGGGCCGGUUCUUUGGGUUUUGGUGUUUCAACAAUAAGCGCUUUAGGCUUCUCCGGUUCUUUGGGUUUCUCCGGUUCUUUGGGCUUCUCCGGUUCUUUGGGUUUCUCCGGUUCUUUGGGCUUCUCCGGUUCUUUGGGUUUCUCCGGUUCUUUGGGCUUCUCUGGUUCUUUGGGUUUCUCCGGUUCUUUGGGCUUCUCUGGUUGCUUAGGCUUCUCAGGUUCUUUCGGCUUCUCCGGUUCUUUGGGUUUCUCUGGUGCUGCUUUGGGAUUCUCUGGUGCUUUGGGUUUCUCUGGAACCUUGAUCUCAAUGCUCUUGACAGCUUCACCUCCUUUACAGACUAUCUUUUCCUUGAUCUUUUCAGGACUGCAACAUACCACAGUGAUGGUCACUGUGCCUGCCUUCUUGUCAUAUAUCUGGUUCUGAAUUUCUCUUGUUCACAAUCCACAAAAAUUAACCACUUAGCCACUUUCAUUUCAUCUUGAAACAGCUCAAACUAAGUUAUAAUAC
This 3566-nucleotide long non-coding RNA is filed under the name Populus trichocarpa (black cottonwood). Its description in RNAcentral is "long non-coding RNA (PTRI_LNC001646)". The record is from RNAcentral. Lineage: Eukaryota; Viridiplantae; Streptophyta; Magnoliopsida; Malpighiales; Salicaceae.